RNAcentral lists this ribosomal RNA (1131 nucleotides) under Lacticaseibacillus rhamnosus. Its description in RNAcentral is "bacterial SSU rRNA". It matches the Rfam family "Bacterial small subunit ribosomal RNA", at positions 173 to 1296 of the family's 1533-position model. Lineage: Bacteria; Bacillati; Bacillota; Bacilli; Lactobacillales; Lactobacillaceae. The record is from RNAcentral.
UCCAAGAACCGCAUGGUUCUUGGCUGAAAGAUGGCGUAAGCUAUCGCUUUUGGAUGGACCCGCGGCGUAUUAGCUAGUUGGUGAGGUAACGGCUCACCAAGGCAAUGAUACGUAGCCGAACUGAGAGGUUGAUCGGCCACAUUGGGACUGAGACACGGCCCAAACUCCUACGGGAGGCAGCAGUAGGGAAUCUUCCACAAUGGACGCAAGUCUGAUGGAGCAACGCCGCGUGAGUGAAGAAGGCUUUCGGGUCGUAAAACUCUGUUGUUGGAGAAGAAUGGUCGGCAGAGUAACUGUUGUCGGCGUGACGGUAUCCAACCAGAAAGCCACGGCUAACUACGUGCCAGCAGCCGCGGUAAUACGUAGGUGGCAAGCGUUAUCCGGAUUUAUUGGGCGUAAAGCGAGCGCAGGCGGUUUUUUAAGUCUGAUGUGAAAGCCCUCGGCUUAACCGAGGAAGUGCAUCGGAAACUGGGAAACUUGAGUGCAGAAGAGGACAGUGGAACUCCAUGUGUAGCGGUGAAAUGCGUAGAUAUAUGGAAGAACACCAGUGGCGAAGGCGGCUGUCUGGUCUGUAACUGACGCUGAGGCUCGAAAGCAUGGGUAGCGAACAGGAUUAGAUACCCUGGUAGUCCAUGCCGUAAACGAUGAAUGCUAGGUGUUGGAGGGUUUCCGCCCUUCAGUGCCGCAGCUAACGCAUUAAGCAUUCCGCCUGGGGAGUACGACCGCAAGGUUGAAACUCAAAGGAAUUGACGGGGGCCCGCACAAGCGGUGGAGCAUGUGGUUUAAUUCGAAGCAACGCGAAGAACCUUACCAGGUCUUGACAUCUUUUGAUCACCUGAGAGAUCAGGUUUCCCCUUCGGGGGCAAAAUGACAGGUGGUGCAUGGUUGUCGUCAGCUCGUGUCGUGAGAUGUUGGGUUAAGUCCCGCAACGAGCGCAACCCUUAUGACUAGUUGCCAGCAUUUAGUUGGGCACUCUAGUAAGACUGCCGGUGACAAACCGGAGGAAGGUGGGGAUGACGUCAAAUCAUCAUGCCCCUUAUGACCUGGGCUACACACGUGCUACAAUGGAUGGUACAACGAGUUGCGAGACCGCGAGGUCAAGCUAAUCUCUUAAAGCCAUUCUCAGUUCGG